This 2824-nucleotide ribosomal RNA is filed under the name Escherichia coli. RNAcentral's name for it is "partial 23S ribosomal RNA". It matches the Rfam family "Bacterial large subunit ribosomal RNA". Lineage: Bacteria; Pseudomonadati; Pseudomonadota; Gammaproteobacteria; Enterobacterales; Enterobacteriaceae. RNAcentral also lists the same sequence under 1 other name. The record is from RNAcentral.
GUAAGGUGAUAUGAACCGUUAUAACCGGCGAUUUCCGAAUGGGGAAACCCAGUGUGAUUCGUCACACUAUCAUUAACUGAAUCCAUAGGUUAAUGAGGCGAACCGGGGGAACUGAAACAUCUAAGUACCCCGAGGAAAAGAAAUCAACCGAGAUUCCCCCAGUAGCGGCGAGCGAACGGGGAGCAGCCCAGAGCCUGAAUCAGUGUGUGUGUUAGUGGAAGCGUCUGGAAAGGCGUGCGAUACAGGGUGACAGCCCCGUACACAAAAAUGCACAUACUGUGAGCUCGAUGAGUAGGGCGGGACACGUGGUAUCCUGUCUGAAUAUGGGGGGACCAUCCUCCAAGGCUAAAUACUCCUGACUGACCGAUAGUGAACCAGUACCGUGAGGGAAAGGCGAAAAGAACCCCGGCGAGGGGAGUGAAAAAGAACCUGAAACCGUGUACGUACAAGCAGUGGGAGCACGCUUAGGCGUGUGACUGCGUACCUUUUGUAUAAUGGGUCAGCGACUUAUAUUCUGUAGCAAGGUUAACCGAAUAGGGGAGCCGAAGGGAAACCGAGUCUUAACUGGGCGUUAAGUUGCAGGGUAUAGACCCGAAACCCGGUGAUCUAGCCAUGGGCAGGUUGAAGGUUGGGUAACACUAACUGGAGGACCGAACCGACUAAUGUUGAAAAAUUAGCGGAUGACUUGUGGCUGGGGGUGAAAGGCCAAUCAAACCGGGAGAUAGCUGGUUCUCCCCGAAAGCUAUUUAGGUAGCGCCUCGUGAAUUCAUCUCCGGGGGUAGAGCACUGUUUCGGCAAGGGGGUCAUCCCGACUUACCAACCCGAUGCAAACUGCGAAUACCGGAGAAUGUUAUCACGGGAGACACACGGCGGGUGCUAACGUCCGUCGUGAAGAGGGAAACAACCCAGACCGCCAGCUAAGGUCCCAAAGUCAUGGUUAAGUGGGAAACGAUGUGGGAAGGCCCAGACAGCCAGGAUGUUGGCUUAGAAGCAGCCAUCAUUUAAAGAAAGCGUAAUAGCUCACUGGUCGAGUCGGCCUGCGCGGAAGAUGUAACGGGGCUAAACCAUGCACCGAAGCUGCGGCAGCGACGCUUAUGCGUUGUUGGGUAGGGGAGCGUUCUGUAAGCCUGUGAAGGUGUGCUGUGAGGUAUGCUGGAGGUAUCAGAAGUGCGAAUGCUGACAUAAGUAACGAUAAAGCGGGUGAAAAGCCCGCUCGCCGGAAGACCAAGGGUUCCUGUCCAACGUUAAUCGGGGCAGGGUGAGUCGACCCCUAAGGCGAGGCCGAAAGGCGUAGUCGAUGGGAAACAGGUUAAUAUUCCUGUACUUGGUGUUACUGCGAAGGGGGGACGGAGAAGGCUAUGUUGGCCGGGCGACGGUUGUCCCGGUUUAAGCGUGUAGGCUGGUUUUCCAGGCAAAUCCGGAAAAUCAAGGCCGAGGCGUGAUGACGAGGCACUACGGUGCUGAAGCAACAAAUGCCCUGCUUCCAGGAAAAGCCUCUAAGCAUCAGGUAACAUCAAAUCGUACCCCAAACCGACACAGGUGGUCAGGUAGAGAAUACCAAGGCGCUUGAGAGAACUCGGGUGAAGGAACUAGGCAAAAUGGUGCCGUAACUUCGGGAGAAGGCACGCUGAUACGUAGGUGAAGCGACUUGCUCGUGGAGCUGAAAUCAGUCGAAGAUACCAGCUGGCUGCAACUGUUUAUUAAAAACACAGCACUGUGCAAACACGAAAGUGGACGUAUACGGUGUGACGCCUGCCCGGUGCCGGAAGGUUAAUUGAUGGGGUUAGCGCAAGCGAAGCUCUUGAUCGAAGCCCCGGUAAACGGCGGCCGUAACUAUAACGGUCCUAAGGUAGCGAAAUUCCUUGUCGGGUAAGUUCCGACCUGCACGAAUGGCGUAAUGAUGGCCAGGCUGUCUCCACCCGAGACUCAGUGAAAUUGAACUCGCUGUGAAGAUGCAGUGUACCCGCGGCAAGACGGAAAGACCCCGUGAACCUUUACUAUAGCUUGACACUGAACAUUGAGCCUUGAUGUGUAGGAUAGGUGGGAGGCUUUGAAGUGUGGACGCCAGUCUGCAUGGAGCCGACCUUGAAAUACCACCCUUUAAUGUUUGAUGUUCUAACGUGGACCCGUGAUCCGGGUUGCGGACAGUGUCUGGUGGGUAGUUUGACUGGGGCGGUCUCCUCCUAAAGAGUAACGGAGGAGCACGAAGGUUGGCUAAUCCUGGUCGGACAUCAGGAGGUUAGUGCAAUGGCAUAAGCCAGCUUGACUGCGAGCGUGACGGCGCGAGCAGGUGCGAAAGCAGGUCAUAGUGAUCCGGUGGUUCUGAAUGGAAGGGCCAUCGCUCAACGGAUAAAAGGUACUCCGGGGAUAACAGGCUGAUACCGCCCAAGAGUUCAUAUCGACGGCGGUGUUUGGCACCUCGAUGUCGGCUCAUCACAUCCUGGGGCUGAAGUAGGUCCCAAGGGUAUGGCUGUUCGCCAUUUAAAGUGGUACGCGAGCUGGGUUUAGAACGUCGUGAGACAGUUCGGUCCCUAUCUGCCGUGGGCGCUGGAGAACUGAGGGGGGCUGCUCCUAGUACGAGAGGACCGGAGUGGACGCAUCACUGGUGUUCGGGUUGUCAUGCCAAUGGCACUGCCCGGUAGCUAAAUGCGGAAGAGAUAAGUGCUGAAAGCAUCUAAGCACGAAACUUGCCCCGAGAUGAGUUCUCCCUGACCCUUUAAGGGUCCUGAAGGAACGUUGAAGACGACGACGUUGAUAGGCCGGGUGUGUAAGCGCAGCGAUGCGUUGAGCUAACCGGUACUAAUGAACCGUGAGGCUUAACCUU